GAUGAACGCUGACAGAAUGCUUAACACAUGCAAGUCUACUUGAACUUCGGUUUGGGUGGCGGACGGGUGAGUAACGCGUAAAGAACUUGCCUCACAGAUAGGGACAACAUUUGGAAACGAAUGCUAAUACCUGAUAUUAUGAUUUUAGGGCAUCCUAGAAUUAUGAAAGCUAUAUGCACUGUGAGAGAGCUUUGCGUCCCAUUAGCUAGUUGGAGAGGUAACGGCUCACCAAGGCGAUGAUGGGUAGCCGGCCUGAGAGGGUAAUCGGCCACAAGGGGACCGAGACACGGCCCUUACUCCUACGGGAGGCAGCAGUGGGGAAUAUUGGACAAUGGACCAAGAGUCUGAUCCAGCAGUUCUGUGUGCACGAUGAAGUUUUUCGGAAUGUAAAGUGCUUUCAGUUGGGAAGAAAAAAAUGACGGUACCAACAGAAGAAGUGACGGCUAAAUACGUGCCAGCAGCCGCGGUAAUACGUAUGUCACAAGCGUUAUCCGGAUUUAUUGGGCGUAAAGCGCGUCUAGGUGGUUAUGUAAGUCUGAUGUGAAAAUGCAGGGCUCAACUCUGUAUUGCGUUGGAAACUGUGUAACUAGAGUACUGGAGAGGUAAGCGGAACUACAAGUGUAGAGGUGAAAUUUGUAGAUAUUUGUAGGAAUGCCGAUGGGGAAGCCAGCUUACUGGACAGAUACUGACGCUGAAGCGCGAAAGCGUGGGUAGCAAACAGG
Molecule: ribosomal RNA, 722 nt
Filed under: uncultured Fusobacterium sp.
Lineage: Bacteria; Fusobacteriati; Fusobacteriota; Fusobacteriia; Fusobacteriales; Fusobacteriaceae
Description: bacterial SSU rRNA
Rfam family: Bacterial small subunit ribosomal RNA
Source: RNAcentral